RNAcentral lists this ribosomal RNA (413 nucleotides) under Rhizophagus sp. CSD-2020a. RNAcentral describes it as "partial large subunit ribosomal RNA". Lineage: Eukaryota; Fungi; Glomeromycota; Glomeromycetes; Glomerales; Glomeraceae. The record is from RNAcentral.
AGAGUUAAAUAGUACGUGAAAUUGUUGAAAGGGAAACGAUUGAAGUCAGUCGUACCGAUGGGCAUUCAGCCUCAUGAGUGCGAUUAUGUUGGGUGUUGGGGAGCUUAACCGUCCUCGCGCUUGCGUAUUUGUGCUCUACGGGUGUACUUGUCCGUAUGGUAGGUUAACAUCAAUUUUGGUCGUCAUAAAAUGACGGGAGGAAUGUGGCUUCGAUCUCGUAUUGAAGUGUUAUAGCCUCUGGUAGAUGUGGUGACCGGGAUUGAGGAUUGCAACGAACCCUUCGGGGUCACCUGUCUGGCCUCUGGUGGUCUCUCUGGUGCCGAAAGCGUGCUUACGGUCAUCAGUGUUGGCUGCCAAAAGGUUAGAACGGGUUGAUUUCGUUAAGGAUGUUGACGUAAUGGCUUUAAACGACC